UUAAUGAAAAUAGAUAAGAAUUAUCCAAGAAUAGAUGAGAAUUUCUUAUUUAUUUUCUUUGUUUGUGUAUAAAAUCUCGAUCUUUGAACGAUGUUCGUAUUAGUUUCUGCAUUCCUUGAUAUGAUUGGUUGUUUACAAGUUAUUGUUAGUCUUUGACUGUACAAAAGUUAUUCAUUCAGUUUCUCGAGAGUUUUGUUAUGGAGUUUCAACUCGAGAUGAAUUUGGUAGAAGGCGUAGGGGCGAGUUCCUCACUGCCGAGGAGUUUUGGUUGCUGUGCAGUGUAUGAUAUAAAAAAUGAUGUGUAUAAUUGUCUUCUAGAGACUGGAGGCCGUUAGACCUUUAACGACUUAAAUUUUUUGCUCAAGAGAUGGUUUAAAAAAACUUCACUACUUCUAAUAUAAAAAUUAUGUACUCACCUUUUGAAUAUGAUAUUGAGAAAUAAAAUCGAUAGAAUUCCCGAAUAUGUAGCAAAUUUACUCUUUUUCCCCAUGAGCACUCAUUUUGAUGGCUGAUUUAGCACAUGAGAACAUAAAUUCCAGUCAUAAAAGCAAAGCUCUUCAUUCUAGAAUGUAAAAGUUCCUAAGAUAUAUUUAAAUUUGGAAAGAUAUCACCUAUGGAAACUCAACGUGCUAUUACUCAUGAAAAUUUUCUAGAUUUAUACAAAAAAGAUCAGUUUGAAUCUGCCUAUUUACUGUAGCUUCUCCCCAAAAUUAACAAGUAGUUUUUUCUUUGUUUUGAAACGUACUUGUAGUUAUGAAUUAACCAGUAGCUACCAAAGAUGAGAUAUUUCUACUUUGUUCCUCUAAGUGAUAUUGGUGUGUUGCAUAAUAUGGCAACCACUAAAUUGGCGUAUGUAUGAAAUUGUAUGCUUGUGUUAAUAUAGGACAGCCUCAUGUUGUUUUCUUUCUUUGAAACUGAUUUGUUUAACUAAGAUGUAUAUGUUGCGUAUCUUGGGGCCUUUCUUGGUUAUACGGAAAAGUUGUUGAAAAAAGCAGAUGGCGCCAAUCCUCUGCUGUCUUUCCAUAUGGUUAUCAUGUAUUUGCUCAACUUUUUGCAUCAUCACUCGCUCGGCUUAGACGAGGUAAAAUGCUUACAUAACCUCUUUCUAUUGUGCUACUUGACAGCCACAUUUGUUGAGAGUUGUAGCCUAUAAUUGAAUCUAAAUAUUCAUCGACUUCUAUUGCAAAUGUCAUGAGUCCAGUAUGGUCCUUAUGAAGUAACCUAUAUGAGAGAGACAAGAGUAUGGUGAGAUUUCUAGCAGUAAAGGUGAUUUUUUGUGAGAUCUUGUUUCAAAAUAAUUCAUGUAGGAUGUUUAAAUGCUGGAUAAUGCAUAAAAACGAAUUAGGGACAGAAAUGUCCAUUAUUAGGUGGCCUAUUUCACAUGGUUAGUAGUCCGCCAAUCUUAUUUAACACAUGUUAAUCUACCAAAAGAAGUUUUAAGUUGUGCAAUAUGUGUUACAUUUGUAAAGAAGAUAUGGAAAGAAAUCGCCACCUAUAUCACUUUUUGGUGGCUCACAACUUUGAAACAUGUUUUUGAACUUAUUUAAUCUAAAAAUGAACAAUGUCAUACUCAACAAUGAGUUAUUGUUAAUUUGCAUCAUAAAGGUCAAGAGGAUUUGCUGCACAAUACAAAAAAGAGAGAAUUUUUUUAUCUUUUGAAGACAAAGCAAAACACAUCAAUAAAAUCAAAUUGAAAUUUGUGUGUUGUCUUUUUGGUGUCCUAAACUUCACCUGUGUGAUUACACCGAGUAUUUUAUUGAUGUUGUUGUUGUUGUCUAUUUAGUGUAGGUAGAAUGUAUAACAUAGUGGUGUAAAUAUGAUAAAAUUUGUUAUUACAUUUUGGUAAAAUCUAUUGACGUCUAACCCAAACUAUUGAUGGCUAACCCAAUGGGCUAGAAAAAAUAAAUAGUAAACAGGUCGUGCAUGGUGAGACGACUAACAAAUAAAAAAAGGGUAUGAUACAACAGAUUAGGAAGGAAAUUAAAGUUGUUUUUGAAAGAUUCAUGGAAUCGAUUCAUGACAAACAGAUAAGGUAAAUGGUCAAGUUAUCGUUUGGGUUGGAGUCCCAUGUUUUGUCUACUUUAAUCAAUCAACAAAUUUACUGCAUUUUCAAUUUAUUUGGCCCAAAGCAACAAGUUAUGUGAUUCUUGUGAUUUUUUUUUUUUUUUUGCUCUUGCCAUUAAAGUGCCUUUGUCGUGCAAAUUAUUUAUGGUUGUAUAAAUUGGAAAAUCAGGCGUAGACAAUGCCUUAAGGUUAUAAUGCUCAGUUUCUUUUGGGCAGAUAUAGUAUUUGCUCACAAGCUUGAAUAGAAUAUAUUUAUUUAUAUUCAACCUCACUACCGCAAGUGUAAUAUGCUUCACAUUUCCAAUAUAUCAAGUAUUUUGGUUCAGCUAAGACAACUAACAUGAGUGCAGAACAAAUAUGGAUAUUUGAUAGUGCUAAUUGUCCCAGGUACGCUAUUCCUCUUUGUCUCUAAUAUUAUGGAAUGACAUUACAUGAGUUUAUCAUUGAUUCUACUUAUUUACGAGACUUGUCUUACAAAAUUUUCAAUGAAAGGUGUACUUCAUGAAGAGUCUCUUAUUACUUAUCCAAAAAAGAUAUAGGUCAUUUAGAGUUGGUUCUGAAAAUAUUAUUGUUAUUCUAAAGAAGUUAAAUUUGUUUAGAGUAUUAAUUUUGACUAUUUCUGUUUCCUGGAGUUAUUGUCUAAAAAUGACCAGAGAUAUCUUAGAUUAUUUUUUGUAGAGUAGAGCUUAACAUUACUUUAGAUAUAGUGAGAAUAAUUUUAAAAUAUCCUAUGUUGCUUGGACUCUUCAAAAAUGUUAAUGGGUGCGCGCUGAAUUCUCUAAAAAUAGUGUAUUUUUGGAGAAUCCAACAUGGGUGCAUCAUCAAAAUUGAAGAGUCCGCACACUUCACCUCUAUUACUUUUCUCUUUUUUUUACUUUCAAUUUUCAAGUAAUACUUUUUAGGUGCGCUUUAGAAAACAGAUUUAAUAGUAAAAUAGUAAAAUUUUGCAUGAUAAAUUGGCUAGAUUUCGUUUUUCUCUGAAAUUAGUUGGUUUGAGUUUUUCUUUUACUUGUUUCAACCUUUUCCUUUGUGCUAUGUGUAAUUGCAGGCAUAACUCAUAAGCUAAGUUGCACAAAAAUCGCAAUCUUGAAUAUUCAUCUGUAUUUUAUAUUUUUCAAGCUAGCAAAAUUUACUGUUAAGAGACUUUCUUCUGCAAUCAUUUGCGUGAGAGUUUAGCUGGCUCCAUAUGCUACAUUUUCCUCACUUUGUCGUGAAACAUUUGGUAUUUUGGUACUAGGUAACAGGUAAAACUUCAUCUGUAUGCACAAUUUUAAAUGCAAUGUCCAUUGCAAGCAGAUCGAUUAUCUAGCAUGAGUGGAGUAAUCUGACUCUCCCUAUGGAUGAAAACAUUAAUAAUAUACAUGUGUGCUGUCUUAAAAUUGAAAAUGAGUGUUGGGAUGCACAUGUUUAUUUUACUGCUAUAAUUUCACCUUACCUGGUUAUGUAAAGUUGAAGGUGCAACUAAUUUGUAUUUUCAUUGGAGUUGAUGUUGUGAAGUUUGUUAAUGUCGUAUUAAUAUUUUAUAGUAUUCACUUUGAUUUUUGAUCGAAAAGGCCUAACACAUGAUAAUUUUCAUACACUUUGACAAUGAGGAAGAAAAUAAGUCUUUUAUGAUGAGCUUGAGCAAGGGAAGAUGGAAACGGUUGAUCACAUCCUCUUCACUGUUUGCUCCAAUAUUUCCCGGCGAGAUCUACUGUUCCAAAAUUUAAUCAUGCUAGAGUAUAAUCACAUCCUCUUCAUUGUUUGCUCUAACAUUUCUUGAAUUUUAAUUGAGAGGGAUUUGAACUCGCUUUUGAAGUAGUGUUAGUUACUUGAUGAUGUAUUCAUUCUUCAUUAUGUAGCAUAGAAUAAAGAUCAAUACUUAAAGAACAGUGACAUAGUGUGCUUUACAAGUAGAUUAUAUGUUAUGCACUCUCUAUAUCUAUGGAAUAAUAUUGAUUGCCUUCUUAUUAUA
This is a long non-coding RNA of Solanum tuberosum (potato), 4018 nucleotides long. RefSeq lists it as uncharacterized. The transcript has 2 exons. The record is from RefSeq and is a predicted model, not a curated record. NCBI's taxonomy places the organism in Eukaryota, Viridiplantae, Streptophyta, Magnoliopsida, Solanales, Solanaceae.